UACGUUACAUGCACAAAUUAAAAUAACUGGAAACAGUAAUCAAUUAGCAUUUGCGUAAAUAUAAGCAAUGCACUUCUAUACUUUGAUAUCUACUAGAAGAUAUAGAGGUUUAUUUAAGUAGGUUAUAUUAUUUGGUUGUCUAUGCUAAAUAAUGAAUAUGAAAUAGACUAGCUAUAACUUUAUUUGUCAAUUAAUACAAGUUAUAGUAAAAAUUACUAAUUGACUAAACUUGUAGAAGCUUAUGCGUUAAUAUUUUUGGACAGGAGUUCGAAUCUCCUCAUCUCCACCA
Molecule: transfer-messenger RNA, 289 nt
Filed under: bovine gut metagenome
Rfam family: transfer-messenger RNA
About the family: Bacterial tmRNA, also known as 10Sa RNA or SsrA, is named for its dual tRNA and mRNA-like properties.
Source: RNAcentral